Long non-coding RNA from Phyllopteryx taeniolatus (common seadragon), 2762 nucleotides. RefSeq lists it as uncharacterized. NCBI's taxonomy places the organism in Eukaryota, Metazoa, Chordata, Actinopteri, Syngnathiformes, Syngnathidae. The transcript is spliced from 3 exons. The record is from RefSeq and is a predicted model, not a curated record.
UUGAAGGUGAGAAAAUGAGAUUUAGGCUAUUUUUUUUUUUUGUCAAAUGUCAAGACUGAGUACGUAAGUGUGAACGGCGUUUUUUUAGGGCGCGACUCGUUCACUCGGCCCUUCGUAACGGGAUAAUGGGCGGUCGGGAAUGGGCCCGAGUGAGCGCUUGAAGACAUCAUCCUCCUCCCGCUUGAGUGUUAAAGCCUCUUUAAACCCCCCCCGCAGCCUUGCGCCCGCCCUACACUGUAUUCCCCGUGAGCUGGCAGACAUUGUCCGAGUCUCAGCGGGGAAGCCGGAUGACGCUGUGAAGCGCGGCUUUUCUUACUGUUGUUACUGGAAACACGACGCGAGCGCUUCGGGGGCCCGAGCACGGACAGGUUACCGGGCAGCGGUGGGCGCUGAGCGUCAGCGAGGCUUCUCGGAAGCGUGGACCGACACUGGGGGAAAAAAAAAAAACUGGCACCAACUUGAACACGCACACACACACAGACACAAUUGUUACGCAAAAUUGUUGGAGAAAAUGACCUUUUUAUGAAAAGAAUGACAUCACAUCCGAUACAAAAGGUCUGCAUUUACGACGAUGAUAACGUGACACCCUUGCGUCACAAUGCUAGGUUUUUACAACACCACGUAUGGAAGCCACCGAUGAAAAGGUUUUAUUCCGCCAAAUAUUUACGCGACGUAACUUGUCGAUACCUUAUCUUGCGUUGCGUAUUUCGUCAUGUAUUUCAGGACACGUCAGGUGAGGCCACCUGAUCUACACGCGCCACCAGCACCGGGGCACCCCAAGGAUGCGUCCUCUCUCCGCUGCUCUUCUCUCUCGAUACCAACGAUUCUGCCGUUCUAUAAGCACGUGAGUGUGCAUGCAAACACAGAUUUGAUCCUUUUUUGGGGGGUUUAUUCUAUUCUCUCAUUUUUACUUUGUUUUGAUUCUUUUUUAUCUUUAUCAGAAUCAGAUUCUGAUUCUGAUUCUUUAUCGCCAAUACGGGUGAAAGGUACAUUCACAACUGAGAAUAUUUCUCGGUCCGACGGUUAUCUCACUAUUUAGCGGCUUGAAUACAUCGAUUUACACGUAGAUGAAAACAUUUCUAAAGUUUGGCGUGAAAAGGCUUCACUGCAGGCGGGCAGAGCGGGCACAGUAACUCCUGACUGACUUAACUAACUAACUAACCUAACUGACCUUAAUGACCGCUCCCCCCGAUGACGCCGACACUGUCACGGAACAAAUUCCAGUCGAAAGUCAAGGCCCCGCUGUAUUUUACUUUUACUCAUUUGUCGAAAGUGAUUCUCGAUUCUACUUGCAUAGGUAACUGAUCUGUGCAACUGAAAUCGACUUUUUACACCGAGUACCAUCCCGAAAACAAAAAAAACAUAAAAGUAUCACCAGCAUGAUCAACCUUAAAAUACAGCAGCGUAAUAGGCCCAAGUGUUCAUCAAAAAAACAGGCAGAGGUUUUAUUUUUUAAAUGUAUAUUAGAUAUUAUUAUAAACCAAUGUAGCAUUAUGCGCAGUUUGAACAGAAACACUGCACCUAACUAUAGGAAAAUAAAACUGAAAUUAAACAAUGAUCACAUUAAAAUGUAUCGCAUAUAAAAGUAAAACAAAAUUGUAUCUACAUUUUUUAAAAUCAGUUCUUAAAGAUUAAAUGCAAAUCUAUUGUACUAAAAAGUUAAACACAACAGUGAUUUACUUCACGUACCACUCGUGGUACUCGUGCCAGACUUUGCGACUCACUGCAUCCCACUGAUGGAAUGUUUUACUACAUUGUGUUUUUAACCUUUUAACAGUUUCAACAAUUGCUGAUAUUGUAAUUGUAAAAAUAUCUGAUGACCGUGUUGUUCGUUUGUUCCUUUCAUGAAAGCGUACAGUAAGACUCCAAUAUGUGAUGGCGGCUUUUCAUCAAGUAAGAAGCCCCGUAAGUCAUAAAGCUCCCUAUGGAUGUUCCAUAUUGAUUAGCUAAUGUACAUCGUGCAGGUCUAAGCAUCCAGCGAGGGGAGGGCAGCCCUCCUCCCUGCCUGGUGGAUUUCUUGAUUUUUCUCAAUUUUUUUAUUUUUAUUUUUUUGCAGCCCUCCUCCCUGCCUGAUGGAUUUCUUGAUUUUUCUCAAUUUUUUUAUUUUUAUUUUUUUGCAGCCCUCCUCCCUGCCUGGUGGAUUUCUUGAUUUUUCUCAAUUUUUUUAUUUUUAUUUUUUUGCAGCCCUCCUCCCUGCCUGAUGGAUUUCUUGAUUUUUAUGUUUUAUUUGUAAUUUUUUUAGCAACCCUCUCCACUGCCUGGGGGAUUUCUUGAUUUGAUUUUUCUCAAUAUUUAUUUAUUAACAUUUUUUGCAGCCCUCCUCCCUGCUUGGUGGAUUUCUUGAUUUUUCUCAAUUUUUAUUUUAAUGUUUUUAAAAAAAAUUUGCAGCCCUCCUCCCUGCCUGGUGGAUUUUUUGAUUUUUGUCAAUUUUAUUUUUUAUUUUGUAUUUUUUUGCAGGCAUCCUCCCUGCCUGGUGGAUUUCCUGAUUUUUAUGUUUUAUUUUUAUUUUUUUGGAGCCCUCCUCCCUGCCUGGUAGAUUUCUUGAUUUAUUAAAUCUUUUCAAUUUCUAUUUUUUUUUUUUUUUUUCAUUUUUUUUAGCCCUCAUCCCUGGCUGGUGUAUUUCUUGAUUUUUAUGUUUUAUUUUUAUUUUUUUUAGCAGCCCUCCUCCCUGCCUGUUGGAUCUCUUGAUUUAUAUUUUUGUAUUUAUUUUUUUUCGUCACCUCGGGGCGGCUCACACAGGACUAAAGUCAACGGAGCGUUUU